CCAAUAGCGUAUAUUAAAGUUGUUGCAGUUAAAAAGCUCGUAGUUGAAUUUCGGGAUUGACACAUCGGUCGUGCCUUAAGGGGUAUGAACUGGUGUAGUCAAUUUCUCACCUUCUGGAGAACCGCGAUGUCCUUAAUUGGGUGCCGCGAGGAACCAGGACCUUUACUUUGAAAAAAUUAGAGUGUUUAAAGCAGGCAUUUUUGCUUGAAUACAUUAGCAUGGAAUAAUAAAAUAGGACGGCAUGGUUCUAUUUUGUUGGUUUCUAGGACCACCGUAAUGAUUAAUAGGGAUAGUUGGGGGCAUUAGUAUUCAAUUGUCAGAGGUGAAAUUCUUGGAUUUAUUGAAGACUAACUACUGCGAAAGCAUUUGCCAAGGAUGUUUUCAUUAAUCAAGAACGAAAGUUAGGGGAUCGAAGACGAUCAGAUACCGUCGUAGUCUUAACCAUAAACUAUGCCGACUAGGAAUCAGACGAUGUUAAUUUUUUAAUGACUCGUUUGGCACCUUACG
Molecule: ribosomal RNA, 507 nt
Filed under: uncultured Glomeromycotina
Lineage: Eukaryota; Fungi; Glomeromycota
Description: partial small subunit ribosomal RNA
Rfam family: Eukaryotic small subunit ribosomal RNA
Source: RNAcentral